Molecule: ribosomal RNA, 253 nt
Filed under: uncultured bacterium
Lineage: Bacteria
Description: partial 16S ribosomal RNA
Rfam family: Bacterial small subunit ribosomal RNA
Source: RNAcentral
UACGAAGGGGGCUAGCGUUGUUCGGAAUCACUGGGCGUAAAGCGCACGUAGGCGGAUCUUUAAGUCAGGGGUGAAAUCCCGAGGCUCAACCUCGGAACUGCCUUUGAUACUGGGGAUCUCGAGUCCGGGAGAGGUGAGUGGAACUGCGAGUGUAGAGGUGAAAUGCGUAGAUAUCGGGAGGAACACCAGUGGCGAAGGCGACUACCUGGCCUGUUCUUGACGCUGAGGCGCGAAAGCUAGGGGAGCAAACGGG